RNAcentral lists this ribosomal RNA (468 nucleotides) under uncultured bacterium. Its description in RNAcentral is "partial 16S ribosomal RNA". It matches the Rfam family "Bacterial small subunit ribosomal RNA", at positions 28 to 507 of the family's 1533-position model. The record is from RNAcentral.
GACGAACGCUGGCGGCGUGCUUAACACAUGCAAGUCGAACGGAAAGACCCUGCUUUUGUGGGGUGCUCGAGUGGCGAACGGGUGAGUAACACGUGAGUAACCUGCCCUUGACUUUGGGAUAACUUCAGGAAACUGGGGCUAAUACCGGAUAGGAGCUCCUGCUGCAUGGUGGGGGUUGGAAAGUUUCGGCGGUUGGGGAUGGACUCGCGGCUUAUCAGCUUGUUGGUGGGGUAGUGGCUUACCAAGGCUUUGACGGGUAGCCGGCCUGAGAGGGUGACCGGCCACAUUGGGACUGAGAUACGGCCCAGACUCCUACGGGAGGCAGCAGUGGGGAAUAUUGCACAAUGGGCGGAAGCCUGAUGCAGCAACGCCGCGUGCGGGAUGACGGCCUUCGGGGUGUAAACCGCUUUCGCCUGUGACGAAGCGUGAGUGACGGUAAUGGGUAAAGAAGCACCGGCUAACUACGUG